This 445-nucleotide ribosomal RNA is filed under the name uncultured bacterium. Its description in RNAcentral is "partial 16S ribosomal RNA". It matches the Rfam family "Bacterial small subunit ribosomal RNA", at positions 339 to 795 of the family's 1533-position model. The record is from RNAcentral.
CUACGGGUGGCAGCAGUCGAGAAUCAUUCACAAUGGGGGAAACCCUGAUGGUACGACGCCGCGUGGGGGAAUGAAGGUCUUCGGAUUGUAAACCCCUGUCAUGUGGGAGCAAAUUCACAAUAUAGGACCACCAGAGGACGAGACGGCUAACGCUGUGCCAGCAGCCGCGGUAAUACAGAGGUCUCAAUCGUUGUUCGGAAUCACUGGGCGUAAAGCGUGCGUAGGCGGUGUCGUAAGUCGUGUGUGAAAGGCGCGGGCUCAACCGGCGGACGGCACAUGAUACUGCGAGACUAGAGUGAUGGAGGGGGAACCGGAAUUCUCGGUGUAGCAGUGAAAUGCGUAGAUAUCGAGAGGAACACUCGUGGCGAAGGCGGGUUCCUGGACAGUAACUGACGCUGAGGCACGAAGGCCAGGGGAGCGAAAGGGAUUAGAUACCCCGGUAGUC